AAGAAAGUUUGUUACACCAACGUCAUCUUCUUCGUUGGUUCUCGAACUGUAACAAAGACUCUCUCUCUUCUCUUUAGAGAGAGAAGUUUCUCUCUUUCUUUCCCUGUUCACGGACUUUCAUCUUUCAUAGGGAGAAAGAGUUUUGUUUUUAUGUUUUUGAUGUAAAAUAUUUCUUUUCGAUCGAAAGAUCGAUUUCUUAUGUUCGCUUAGGCGAUUGUGUUCUUAGCUUUGGUGAUUUUUUGAUGUGUUUCUCUUCAACCAGAACAUAGCUUUUCUUCAAGACUCUCCUUUUAUCUCUGUUUUUUCGGUUGAGUUCAAAUAAAUUCCGAUCUUUAUUCGGAUUUUCGAAGCAAUUCCUAGAAAAUCAAGUCAAAUCCCAACCAAUCUCGUCUCAGUUGGAUGCAUCAUCUCUGGAUAGGGUAAUAUCGGCCGUUACGUUGCUGUCAGUCCUUAGUGGGGCAGCCUGAAUAUCUCUGGAUUGAUGUUCGCCGGAGACGCGACUGCGCUCCUGCCGAGUUGGUGAAGAAGGUUGCUGAUGAAGGAGGACGGAGAUACGGGAGUCUUGCUUCAAAUUGGUAUCAACAAUGAUCAAAGAGGAGGAGUAUGAAAGAAGAAAUCCAUGAGGCAAUGGAGAUGCAAAAGCUUAGCGACGGUGGCCGAGAUUGCCUUCCUUCGCAGGACAGACACGUGUUGCGGUGGUGAAGCUUCGCUGCGGUUGUUGAGAUUGCCACUUUUCGCAUGAAGGACGCGUGGCAAUAACGUGUCUGUUGAAGCUUCUGCUUUUCUUCCAAGUGGGCUGUUAUUAGAUUUAAAUGAGCCUCUUUUGUAAUUGUUUGAUGCCAAAUGUAUGCCCGUUUGGGCCAAAAUUAAUGAAAACUUUGGUCGACAGAAAAAAAAAAAAGAAAAAAAAAGAUGAACUUGGACAAACUGGAUUCUACAAAGAAACAACGAAAAAGAGAUUUAUAUCAAUUAUUUUGUUAUAAAUCAAUUGGUGGAAGUCCAUUAUCGG
RNAcentral lists this long non-coding RNA (1009 nucleotides) under Brassica napus (rape). RNAcentral describes it as "long non-coding RNA (BNAP_LNC023056)". The record is from RNAcentral. Lineage: Eukaryota; Viridiplantae; Streptophyta; Magnoliopsida; Brassicales; Brassicaceae.